ACAAAAAUGACAGUGUAACAAAAUGACAUUAGAAGUCAACGAUUUUAUAUAAAUUUUUUUUCGCAACAAUUUUAUAUACAUUAUAUAUUUAAUAAAUAUAUUUAUAUUAUAUUUUAUAAAUGGAUCGCUGUCGGUGUCCUGAAUAUGAGGUGGCCAUCGACAAAUUAAAGAUUUAUACAGUAGGCACGUACAGAGAUGACGCGAUAAAACAUUACGACAGAUCCGGUUUCCAAGUGACCUGGAUAAGGCACGGCGUGAACUACGAUGAUAUGAAGUUCACGAAGCCGAAAGCCACAAAGAUUAGAAGAGAAUACGGAAAACCAAAGGACCUUAUGAAAAUAGAACGAAUGUGGUGCCCCUACAUGACCCCCGUGGAAAUGUGACAAUAAAUUCUGAGGAACUGUUCUUGGGAUUUAAUAGAAUAAUAAUAAUAAUAAUAAAGCCUUUUUUUCCAGUAAAUUUACAUAACUUAAAAUAUA
Long non-coding RNA from Bombyx mori (domestic silkworm), 479 nucleotides. RefSeq lists it as uncharacterized. NCBI's taxonomy places the organism in Eukaryota, Metazoa, Arthropoda, Insecta, Lepidoptera, Bombycidae. The record is from RefSeq and is a predicted model, not a curated record. The transcript is spliced from 2 exons.